RNAcentral lists this RNase P RNA (307 nucleotides) under bovine gut metagenome. RNAcentral's name for it is "Bacterial RNase P class A". It matches the Rfam family "Bacterial RNase P class A". From Rfam's summary of the family: Ribonuclease P (RNase P) is a ubiquitous endoribonuclease, found in archaea, bacteria and eukarya as well as chloroplasts and mitochondria. Its best characterised activity is the generation of mature 5'-ends of tRNAs by cleaving the 5'-leader elements of precursor-tRNAs. Cellular RNase Ps are ribonucleoproteins. The record is from RNAcentral.
GCAUCUUUUGAUGUGAGGAAAGUCCGGACACCCAAAGUGAAAGGUUGCUUGGGAAAGCCAAGUGCGCGCGAGCGUGAGGAACAGUGCCACAGAAAAGUAGACUACGAUUUAUUCGUACAGGUGCAACGGCGAGGUAAAAGCUCACCGCCGCCACGGUGACGGGGCGGGUCAUGGUAAACCCCAAUCGGGUGCAAGUUUAAAUUUGCAAGAAGAAUUUCACUUUUCGUUUGUUUUAUACAAAAUUGCAAGACAAAACGCACUAGACAGAUGAUUACCUUAAACAGAAUCCGGCUUAUAGCCCGCUUUU